GAUGAACGCUGGCGGCGUGCCUAAUACAUGCAAGUCGAGCGAACGGACGAGAAGCUUGCUUUUCUGAUGUUAGCGGCGGACGGGUGAGUAACACGUGGAUAACCUACCUAUAAGACUGGGAUAACUUCGGGAAACCGGAGCCAAUACCGGAUAAUAUUUUGAACCGCAUGGUUCAAAAGUGAAAGACGGUCUUGCUGUCUCUUAUAGAUGGAUCCGCGCUGCAUUAGCUAGUUGGUAAGGUAACGGCUUACCAAGGCAACGAUGCAUAGCCGACCUGAGAGGGUGAUCGGCCACACUGGAACUGAGACACGGUCCAGACUCCUACGGGAGGCAGCAGUAGGGAAUCUUCCGCAAUGGGCGAAAGCCUGACGGAGCAACGCCGCGUGAGUGAUGAAGGUCUUCGGAUCGUAAAACUCUGUUAUUAGGGAAGAACAUAUGUGUAAGUAACUGUGCACAUCUUGACGGUACCUAAUCAGAAAGCCACGGCUAACUACGUG
RNAcentral lists this ribosomal RNA (497 nucleotides) under uncultured bacterium. Its description in RNAcentral is "partial 16S ribosomal RNA". It matches the Rfam family "Bacterial small subunit ribosomal RNA", at positions 28 to 507 of the family's 1533-position model. The record is from RNAcentral.